Molecule: ribosomal RNA, 301 nt
Filed under: uncultured bacterium
Lineage: Bacteria
Description: partial 16S ribosomal RNA
Rfam family: Bacterial small subunit ribosomal RNA
Source: RNAcentral
CAGUAGCCACGGUAAUACGAAGGGUGCAAGCGUUACUCGGAAUUACUGGGCGUAAAGCGUGCGUAGGUGGUGGUUUAAGUCCGUUGUGAAAGCCCUGGGCUCAACCUGGGAAUUGCAGUGGAUACUGGAUCACUAGAGUGUGGUAGAGGAUAGUGGAAUUUCCGGUGUAGCAGUGAAAUGCGUAGAGGUCGGAAGGAACAUCUGUGGCGAAGGCGACUAUCUGGGCCAACACUGACACUGAGGCACGAAAGCGUGGGGAGCAAACAGGAUUAGAUACCCCGGUAGUCCCUGUCUCUUAUAC